Molecule: ribosomal RNA, 467 nt
Filed under: uncultured bacterium
Lineage: Bacteria
Description: partial 16S ribosomal RNA
Rfam family: Bacterial small subunit ribosomal RNA
Source: RNAcentral
GACGAACGCUGGCGGCGUGCUUAACACAUGCAAGUCGAACGGAAACGCCCUGCUUUUUUACUGUUCUCGAGUGUCGAACGGGUGAGUAACACGUGAGUAACCUGCUCUUGACUUUGGUAUAACUUCAGGAAACUGGGGCUAAUACCGUAUAGCAGCUCCUGCUGCAUUGUGGGGGUUGGAACGUUUCGGCGGUUGGGGAUGGACUCGCGGCUUAUGAGCUUGUUGGUGGGGUAGUGGCUUACCCACGCUUUGACGGGUAGCCGGACUGAGAGGGUGACAGGGUACAUGGGGGCUGAGAUACGGCCAAGACGGAUACGGGAGGAAGGAGUGGGGAAUAUUGCAAAAUGGGCGGAAGGCUGAUGCAGGAACGCCGCGUGGGGGAUGACGGCCUUCGGGUUGGAAACCGCUUUAGUCAGUGACGAAGCGUGAGUGACGGUAACGGGUAAAGAAGAACAGGCGAACUACGU